Molecule: non-coding RNA, 3686 nt
Organism: Nothobranchius furzeri (turquoise killifish)
Lineage: Eukaryota; Metazoa; Chordata; Actinopteri; Cyprinodontiformes; Nothobranchiidae
Source: RefSeq, a predicted model, not a curated record
AAUCAGUAAUAUUGUAAUGUAAUGAAUUACUUUAAAAUGAGGGUAACAAGUAAUAAAUAAUGCAUUACAGUUUUGAAGUAACUUGCCCAACACUGGUCAUGAACCCCAACAUUCCAACAGGCUUAGCGGACGGGAUAUUACAAGAGUGGACAAGGAAGGGUAUCAAUACUGUUGACAAUCUCUACACCAACAAUAGCUUUUUAAGUUUUGACCAAAUGUCAGUACUAUAUAAUAUUGAGUGGCAUAACUUCUUCAAAUAUCUACAGAUUAGGAGUUGGAUUAAGAGUCAAACCAAAGAUCACUUCCCACAUAGACCUGAGGAAACCCUACUAGAAAGUACCUUUUUGAUCCAAAGUGGAAAGGAUCUAAAGGAUUAAUAUCUGCUGUUUAUAAAACAGUGAUUGAUAAUUUACCAGCUUAUGCAAGACCCUCAAACAAAAUGAGGUGGGAGGCCGACUCGGGUUGUAGCUACACAGAGGAUGAUUGGAGCAGAUUAUUAAAGGAGACAUAACAUGAAAAACCCACUUUUUUAUCCAUUAACACAGUGUGUUUCACAUUUUAAGUGUCUAAGUGAGCAAAAAGGCUUAUAUUAUUCACUGGAGUUGCUAUUUAGAUAUUUAAUAAUUAAGUUUUGGGCAUAUUUGUCCACCCGUUCAGUUUUUACAUUAUCCAUUACGUCAGUAAUUAAUUUAGUCAGGAUAACUACCAAAUAUGGUAAUGGCCCUCGGCUAAACACAGAGCCAAUCCGCCAUUUUUUCUUCUCGCUAAGAUUUUUUGUAGUCCUAUUGGAAAAAUGCAGAAUGUCUGGUUAUUUUAGCCACACACAGCUCAAAACUGUUCCUCGUUUUAAGGAAGGGUGGUGUGGCAGUAUUUAAACCCAGGAGCUGAUGACACUACUGCUAAAAAAACACAGAAGAAAAAGUAGUGUGUUUGUGUGUGUGUGUGUGUGUGUGUGUGUGUGUGUGUGUGUGUGUGUGUGUGUGUGUGUGUGUGUGCGCGCGUGGUUCGUUCGUUCGUGUCUCCCAGGCUAGUAAGUACUGAGGGCUUCAUCUAUCUAAAAGGAGUCAUUUGCAUCUGAAUGUGGCAGCACCGGGACACAGCAGCAGAGCGAGUCAACAUCCAGAAGACUGGAGCCGUGUUUCACUGACAGGCUGUCAGACUAAAGCCCUGAUGAGCUCAGCUGGGACAAACUGGUCUGAUGUUUAGGAACACAGAACGUUCAGAUGUUGGCAUUUCACAUCACCUACUGAGGAAGGAGACCCACCAGUAAAGAGAUGGUAGCUGGACCAGACCAAAAAUAUGGCGAUGACAUCAUGGAACUGGUCUUUGGAAAAGUUUUCCCUGAACCAACUCCGUUUCUAGAUGAGGUAGAGAAGAUCUGCAUCUCACCAACCCUCUGGUCUCAGAGACAACAGAGGUCUCCCACUGUUAUCCAGGACCAGUUUGAAGCCCACAUACUGCCCCUCCCUCAUCAUCAGGAAACAUCAAUCCGUAUCCUGAGGACAACAGAAGACGGCAGGAGGGCAGGAACUCUGAGACCUAGACACCACCAGCACCGAGACACAAAGCACCUGUGUGCACAACGCCUGUUUAACUACUAAAGCCUGUUUAUUAUAUUGUUCUACUUAUUUGCUGUGAGGUUAAUACUUACAAAAAUUUGUAUAUUAAUGUAAACAAUUAAAAAAAUCACUGAUUGUAUGUUUUCUUUUAGAUGUAAUGGUCCAAACUCAGCCUUGUAGACAUUUAUUGCAUCCUGUAGGUAAAUACACAGAACAGGCUCAGGUCCAGGAUGACCCAGCAUGCUCUUCUUCCAUUCUGGCUGUUAGGGAUUGUAUCAAUAACUCAAUGCCUACUGAUGUUUCCACCUAACGGUAUUUAUUUAGAAUGCAGGUCAGAUUUAACUAUAUUUGUUAGCAAAGCAGACUGAUCCUGGGAAUUUCACUGCAGCACUGAUGUCCACCUCUCUGUACACAUUAGAGAGAAUUACCACUUUACAGCUAAACACAUAUUUAAUAAAGAUAUAGGCUACGCAUUGCAGACAAUAAAAACAAAGUUGUAAGCAUUAGAAUUAUAAUGAUCACAUUAAAGAACAUUUGGAGGAAUGUUCUUUAUUUUUGACUCGAAUCUCAAAUCUUUAAAUUAAAAUGUAACUGCUUUUUAUCCAUUUUCAGCCAUUAAGACACCCAAUAUAAAAUAAGACUACUUAUAAAAUUAUUUAUAAUUAUAUGUAUGUAUAUAUAUAGAUAGAGAUCUUAAUAAAAUGUAUUCUUUUAAUGGUGUUUUAAUGAGCUGUAUCAUUUUUUAAAACAUUUUUUAUAGAAAUAAAUAAGCAAGCAGCAUUCCUUGUGUGUGUGUGUGUGUGCGCGUGCGCGCGCACGUGCCUGCUAGCUGGUCCCUCCGUCGGCAGUGACGGGUGUGUGUGAGUGACUACAGACAAAUGCAUGAGAGAGUUAGCAGCCUUGAAACAGCUUGAUGAACUACCCUCCCCACAUGUUUUAAAAAUGCUAAUAUGCUAUGCUAAAUCUGCUAUGCUAAAUAAUGAUUUCUCUAUAGAACUACAAAGUCCGGCUGGGGGAGGAGAGAACAGGUCUGCACUAUGGAGGGGGGCGGAGUUUACAGCUCCUCCUCCAGUUUAAAGAGACAGUACCCAAAACGGCUCGUUCUCAAGACUCUCCUCAGAACAGGGGUAGAUGAGGGUCUGUAGAGCAACAAUAAUGAGGAAAUCAGACCAAAGAACUGCAGUUCCACUGUAUUUAGACCCCAACUGAAGGAUUUAGAUGUAAAAAGGAAUAACUUAAAAGCAUGUUAUGUCUCCUUUAAAGCUGGCCCAAACCAAACUGGCAUCCACUAAGCAUAGACAAAUUCAGUUUAACACAUUCCACAUAACAUACUUCACACCAUAUAGUCAGAUUACGUUAGUGACUGAAUAGAUUUAACAUUAAUAUUAGAACAAUCCAGUGAACAACGUUCAUAUUGUGUUGUUCUACGUUUACCUGUAUCUGUCUACAACAUGAUGUACGGCAAGCCAUUUUGACAUUUAAUCAACAACACCUCUCUGUAAUUCCUGUUCUACAUAGCAAUAAUAUAAUUGAUCCUUGUCCAAAUAAUGUUCUCACUCAUGACAUUUGUAAAGAUGAACAAGUAGAAAUUAUAAGUAACAUUCAUAAUAACAACUGCACUAGCAGGAAUUUAUCAUCUUAAUUCAUUAAGGUGUCUCCAUCCUUCAGUGCUAACCCCGAACAGUUAAAACUUUUUGUCUUUUUACAGAAACUCCAAAAUAGAUUUUAGGCAAAUACAAUUAAAGGUGUGGAACACUGAAAAAUCAGUUUUUAGUUAUUAUUUCUGAUAAUCAAUCACUGAGUUUUUCAUGUUCUGAACAUGAAAAUAGUCUCCUACACCUACCUCCUGCAUCAGCUUCUGAUAGAAAAUAGACGGUGAAACUCUAGGAUUAGAAAAGCCUGACAGAUCUAUGUCACACUGUCACUUAACAUUUAUGGACUCACCCAUCUCGACUCAUGGUGGCGAAGGCUGUUUUUGUUUAGCGUCCAGGAAGUAACAGAGAACGUCUUUACUAGUAGACCGAUCCAAGAUCGCGGCGCCAGCGCUUGUCAGCGCCCAUAGGCAGUAGCGGCCACGCGGGACCAAUCUACGUCUAAGUAAAAAAAAAAAAAAAAAAAAAAAAAAAA